Molecule: ribosomal RNA, 374 nt
Filed under: uncultured bacterium
Lineage: Bacteria
Description: bacterial SSU rRNA
Rfam family: Bacterial small subunit ribosomal RNA
Source: RNAcentral
AUUGAACGCUGGCGGCAUGCCUUACACAUGCAAGUCGAACGGCAGCACGGGAGCAAUCCUGGUGGCGAGUGGCGAACGGGUGAGUAAUAUAUCGGAACGUGCCCGGUCGUGGGGGAUAACGUAGCGAAAGCUACGCUAAUACCGCAUACGAUCUACGGAUGAAAGCGGGGGAUCGCAAGACCUCGCGCGAUUGGAGCGGCCGAUAUCAGAUUAGGUAGUUGGUGAGGUAAAGGCUCACCAAGCCGACGAUCUGUAGCUGGUCUGAGAGGACGACCAGCCACACUGGGACUGAGACACGGCCCAGACUCCUACGGGAGCAGCAGUGGGGUAAUUUUGGACAACUGGGCGCAAGCCUGAUCCAGCAAUGCCGCGUG